Molecule: ribosomal RNA, 720 nt
Filed under: uncultured bacterium
Lineage: Bacteria
Description: partial 16S ribosomal RNA
Rfam family: Bacterial small subunit ribosomal RNA
Source: RNAcentral
WGAAGGCCUUCGGGUUGUAAACCACUGUYAKUGGGGAGGAAAUGCAUAGGGGUUCUCUCCUAUGUUUGACCUAUCUUCAGAGGAAGGACGGGCUAAGUUCGUGCCAGCAGCCGCGGUAAGACGAACCGUCCRAACGUUAUUCGGAAUUACUGGGCUUAAAGGGUGCGUAGGCGGCUUGGCAAGUUGGGUGUGAAAUCCCUCGGCUCAACCGAGGAACUGCGCUCAAAACUGUCAGACUAGAGGGAGAUAGAGGUGAAUGGAACUAAUGGUGGAGCGGUGAAAUGCGUUGAUAUCAUUAGGAACACCUGUGGCGAAAGCGGUUCACUGGAUCUCUUCUGACGCUGAGGCACGAAAGCUAGGGUAGCGAACGGGAUUAGAUACCCCGGUAGUCCUAGCUGUAAACGAUGAGCACUGGGUUGGAGGGUCCUCCAUAGCCUUCCGGCCGUASCGAAAGUGUUAAGUGCUCCGCCUGGGGAGUAUGGUCGCAAGACUGAAACUCAAAGGAAUUGACGGGGGCUCACACAASCSGUGGAGGAUGUGGCUUAAUUCGAKGCUACGCGAAGAACCUUAUCCUGGUCUUGACWUGMACKGAUGGGCCGCCUGAAAGGGAUGGUCCCCUGCUCUUGYARURAAACGUGCACAGGUGCUGCAUGGYUGUCUUCAGCUCGUGUCGUGAYAUUUCGKGUUAAMUCCCUWAMCGAGKRGAAACCUUUUGUCCCU